RNAcentral lists this ribosomal RNA (664 nucleotides) under uncultured bacterium. RNAcentral describes it as "bacterial SSU rRNA". It matches the Rfam family "Bacterial small subunit ribosomal RNA", at positions 13 to 677 of the family's 1533-position model. The record is from RNAcentral.
UUGAUCCUGGCUCAGAAUGAACGCUGGCGGCGUGCUUUACACAUGCAAGUCGAGCGAGGCGGGUAGCAAUACCCAGUCGAGCGGCGAACGGGUGAGUAACGCGUGGAUUAUCUACCCUGAGUGUGGGGGAUAACCCGGCGAAAGCCGGGCUAAUACCGCAUAACAUCGAAAGAUCAAAGGGGGAGCAAUCUCCCGCCAUUGGAGGAGUCCGCGUCCGAUUAGCUAGUUGGUAGGGUAAUGGCCUACCAAGGCGACGAUCGGUAGCCGGCCUGAGAGGGUGAUCGGCCACACUGGAACUGAGACACGGUCCAGACUCCUACGGGAGGCAGCAGUGGGGAAUUUUGCGCAAUGGGCGAAAGCCUGACGCAGCAACGCCGCGUGGAGGAUGACGGUCCUUGGAUUGUAAACUCCUGUCAGCAGGGAAAAAUGCAAACCGACCUCAUACGUCGGUAAGUUGAUUGUACCUGCAGAGGAAGCCCCGGCUAACUCUGUGCCAGCAGCCGCGGUAAUACAGAGGGGGCAAGCGUUAUUCGGAAUUAUUGGGCGUAAAGGGCGCGUAGGCGGCUUGACAAGUGGAUGGUGAAAUCCCUCGGCUUAACCGAGGAACUGCCCUCCAAACUGUUUUGCUUGAGGCCGGGAGCAGGUGAGUGGAAUUCCCAGUGUA